Molecule: long non-coding RNA, 261 nt
Organism: Gopherus evgoodei (Goodes thornscrub tortoise)
Lineage: Eukaryota; Metazoa; Chordata; Testudines; Testudinidae
Exons: 3
Source: RefSeq, a predicted model, not a curated record
AGCCCCCCGGGGCCUGGGGCAAAUUGCCCCUGCCUCUGGGCGGCCCUGACAAUUUGUACUGAAUGUGUUAGCUUUUAAGAAAUUGUACACAGGAAGUGCCAUACUGGAUCAGACUCCUGCUCCACCUAGUAUACUAUCUCAGAGACCAGCACUUUUAGAGCAUUGUAAGGCAUGCCGUGUACCAAACAGAAGAGAUCGAAGUCUUCUUUGUAUGAUUUAAGUGAUCAGAUCUGGUAUCUCCCGUACAGUCAAUGCCGGAGC